UGGGGAAUUUUGGACAAUGGGGGAAACCCUGAUCCAGCCAUCCCGCGUGUGCGAUGAAGGCCUUCGGGUUGUAAAGCACUUUUGGCAGGAAAGAAACGUCGCGGGUUAAUACCCCGCGAAACUGACGGUACCUGCAGAAUAAGCACCGGCUAACUACGUGCCGGCAGCCGCGGUAAUACGUAGGGUGCAAGCGUUAAUCGGAAUUACUGGGCGUAAAGCGUGCGCAGGCGGUUCGGAAAGAAAGAUGUGAAAUCCCAGAGCUUAACUUUGGAACUGCAUUUUUAACUACCGGGCUAGAGUGUGUCAGAGGGAGGUGGAAUUCCGCGUGUAGCAGUGAAAUGCGUAGAUAUGCGGAGGAACACCGAUGGCGAAGGCAGCCUCCUGGGAUAACACUGACGCUCAUGCACGAAAGCGUGGGGAGCAAACAGGAUUAGAUACCCUGGUAGU
This 447-nucleotide ribosomal RNA is filed under the name uncultured bacterium. Its description in RNAcentral is "partial 16S ribosomal RNA". It matches the Rfam family "Bacterial small subunit ribosomal RNA", at positions 355 to 794 of the family's 1533-position model. The record is from RNAcentral.